This is a long non-coding RNA of Triplophysa dalaica, 490 nucleotides long. RefSeq lists it as uncharacterized. The record is from RefSeq and is a predicted model, not a curated record. Lineage: Eukaryota; Metazoa; Chordata; Actinopteri; Cypriniformes; Nemacheilidae. The transcript is spliced from 4 exons.
CGCGGUCCCACCGCUCAAGAACUUCUUCUGCUCGGGUUCCGUCCGAUCCAUCUCCUGGAAGUCGAUGUGGGUUGACCCCGGGCUGUUAUUGGUGCUCUCUGAAGACGUGGACAGGUUAUAGAAGGUUUUGGGUGUUUAACCAGGAAUAAAGGAUUUGACCUCUUUGCUCGGACUCUGAUGCUCUCGUGUGGAGGAAAACGGGAAACUCUUCUUAACCCCAAAUAUAAGAUGUGUUUGCUGGAUGAUAAAACACCGAAGAAGGACCUGAACCACAUCUAGAGAGCAGACGAUUGGAGCAGACGCAGUUUUCCGCUGCAGUUCAAUGCAGGAACAGCCGCAUGCAGACGUCUCUGUGAGUCAGAAGUUUUUACACCUUUCUCUACAAAUGAUACACAACACACACACACACUUUCAGUUUACUCAGGCAUACGCUGCUUAUGUUGACAUGUUUAGUGCUUUAAAUCUGACCUCACAGAGAGAGCAAGAGAAA